GCCUUCGUGGUGUAAUGGUCAGCACACUGAGCCGGUAUUUCAGAGGUCCGUGGUUCGAUCCCCGGCUAAGGUA
RNAcentral lists this transfer RNA (73 nucleotides) under Stegodyphus mimosarum. It matches the Rfam family "tRNA". Rfam says of the family: Transfer RNA (tRNA) molecules are approximately 80 nucleotides in length. Their secondary structure includes four short double-helical elements and three loops (D, anti-codon, and T loops). Further hydrogen bonds mediate the characteristic L-shaped molecular structure. tRNAs have two regions of fundamental functional importance: the anti-codon, which is responsible for specific mRNA codon recognition, and the 3' end, to which the tRNAs corresponding amino acid is attached (by aminoacyl-tRNA synthetases). tRNAs cope with the degeneracy of the genetic code in two manners: having more than one tRNA (with a specific anti-codon) for a particular amino acid; and 'wobble' base-pairing, i.e. permitting non-standard base-pairing at the 3rd anti-codon position. The record is from Rfam by way of RNAcentral. Lineage: Eukaryota; Metazoa; Arthropoda; Arachnida; Araneae; Eresidae.